GAUUAAGUUAUUAAGGGCGCACGGUGGAUGCCUUGGCACUAGAAGCCGAUGAAGGACGUUACUAACGACGAUAUGCUUUGGGGA
RNAcentral lists this ribosomal RNA (84 nucleotides) under Staphylococcus aureus. RNAcentral's name for it is "partial 23S ribosomal RNA". It matches the Rfam family "Bacterial large subunit ribosomal RNA", at positions 1 to 84 of the family's 2925-position model. Lineage: Bacteria; Bacillati; Bacillota; Bacilli; Caryophanales; Staphylococcaceae. The record is from RNAcentral. RNAcentral also lists the same sequence under 2 other names.